Molecule: ribosomal RNA, 253 nt
Filed under: uncultured bacterium
Lineage: Bacteria
Description: partial 16S ribosomal RNA
Rfam family: Bacterial small subunit ribosomal RNA
Source: RNAcentral
UACGUAGGGGGCAAGCGUUGUCCGGAAUCAUUGGGCGUAAAGCGCGUGUAGGCGGUUCGGUAAGUCUGCUGUGAAAGUCCAGGGCUCAACCCUGGGAUGCCGGUGGAUACUGUCCGACUAGAAUACGGAAGAGGCGAGUGGAAUUCCCGGUGUAGCGGUGAAAUGCGCAGAUAUCGGGAGGAACACCAAUUGCGAAGGCAGCUCGCUGGGACGUUACUGACGCUGAGACGCGAAAGCGUGGGGAGCAAACAGG